RNAcentral lists this ribosomal RNA (708 nucleotides) under bacterium. RNAcentral's name for it is "bacterial SSU rRNA". The record is from RNAcentral.
GCAUCGAGAWUCAACAUGGAACGAGUGGCGGACGRGUGAGUAACACGUGGGUAACCUGCCCUUAAGUGGGGGAUAACAUUUGGAAWCAGAUGCUAAUACCGCAUAGAUCCAAGAACCGCAUGGUUCUUGGCUGAAAGAUGGCGUAAGCUAUCGCUUUUGGAUGGACCCGCGGCGUAUUAGCUAGUUGGUGAGGUAAUGGCUCACCAAGGCGAUGAUACGUAGCCGAACUGAGAGGUUGAUCGGCCACAUUGGGACUGAGACACGGCCCAAACUCCUACGGGAGGCAGCAGUAGGGAAUCUUCCACAAUGGACGCAAGUCUGAUGGAGCAACGCCGCGUGAGUGAAGAAGGCUUUCGGGUCGUAAAACUCUGUUGUUGGAGAAGAAUGGUCGGCAGAGUAACUGUUGYCGGCGUGACGGUAUCCAACCAGAAAGCCACGGCUAACUACGUGCCAGCAGCCGCGGUAAUACGUAGGUGGCAAGCGUUAUCCGGAUUUAUUGGGCGUAAAGCGAGCGCAGGCGGUUUUUUAAGUCUGAUGUGAAAGCCCUCGGCUUAACCGAGGAAGCGCAUCGGAAACUGGGAAACUUGAGUGCAGAAGAGGACAGUGGAACUCCAUGUGUAGCGGUGAAAUGCGUAGAUAUAUGGAAGAACACCAGUGGCGAAGGCGGCUGUCUGGUCUGUAACKACGCKAGGYCGAAAGCUGKKGCUC